Molecule: ribosomal RNA, 468 nt
Filed under: uncultured bacterium
Lineage: Bacteria
Description: partial 16S ribosomal RNA
Rfam family: Bacterial small subunit ribosomal RNA
Source: RNAcentral
GACGAACGCUGGCGGCGUGCUUAACACAUGCAAGUCGAACGGAAAGGCCCUGCUUUUGUGGGGUGCUCGAGUGGCGAACGGGUGAGUAACACGUGAGUAACCUGCCCUUGACUUUGGGAUAACUUCAGGAAACUGGGGCUAAUACCGGAUAGGAGCUCCUGCUGCAUGGUGGGGGUUGGAAAGUUUCGGCGGUUGGGGAUGGACUCGCGGCUUAUCAGCUUGUUGGUGGGGUAGUGGCUUACCAAGGCUUUGACGGGUAGCCGGCCUGAGAGGGUGAGCGGCCACCGUGGGACAGACAUACCGCCCAGAGUCCUACGGGGGCCCGCAGUGGGUGCGCGUGCUGCUUGGGCGAACGCCGGAUGCUGCAACGUCGCGUGCGGGAUGACGGCCUUCGGGUAUGAGACGGCAUUCGCCUGUGACGAAGCGUGUGGGACCGUAGUGAAUACAGAAGCAGCGGCUAAGCACGUG